AUUGAACGCUGGCGGCAUGCCUUACACAUGCAAGUCGAACGGCAGCACGGGAGCAAUCCUGGUGGCGAGUGGCGAACGGGUGAGUAAAGUAUCGGAACGUGCCCAGUCGUGGGGGAUAACGUAGCGAAAGUUACGCUAAUACCGCAUACGAUCUAUGGAUGAAAGCGGGGGAUCGCAAGACCUCGCGCGAUUGGAGCGGCCGAUAUCAGAUUAGGUAGUUGGUGGGGUAAAGGCUCACCAAGCCGACGAUCUGUAGCUGGUCUGAGACGACGACCAGCCACACUGGGACUGAGACACGGACCAGACUCCUACGGGAGGCGGCGGUGGGGAAUUUUGGACAAUGGGCGAAAGCCUGAUCCAGCCAUGCCGCGUGCAGGAUGAAGGCCUUCGGGUUGUAAACUGCUUUUGUACGGAACGAAAAGGUUUGGCCUAAUAAGCUGAGCUCAUGACGGUACCGUAAGAAUAAGCACCGGCUAACUACGUGCCAGCCGCCGCAGUAA
This 500-nucleotide ribosomal RNA is filed under the name uncultured bacterium. Its description in RNAcentral is "partial 16S ribosomal RNA". It matches the Rfam family "Bacterial small subunit ribosomal RNA", at positions 30 to 523 of the family's 1533-position model. The record is from RNAcentral.